This 1636-nucleotide long non-coding RNA is filed under the name Nicotiana tabacum (common tobacco). RNAcentral describes it as "long non-coding RNA (NTAB_LNC006886)". The record is from RNAcentral. Lineage: Eukaryota; Viridiplantae; Streptophyta; Magnoliopsida; Solanales; Solanaceae.
CCGAUACAGGAGCAUUUAAGUAUUUAUGUCUAUCUAUUGUGAUCUGAAGUACUACGGUGGGAUUUUGCGGACCUACACGUACACUAGAAUAUGGUGACUACGCCGGCUGUGAACUAACAAUGCAUAUCAACUGCUGACUAUUCUCUCCUUCAAUUCUCCAUCGAUAUCAAAACUAUUCUUCACCUCUGUAUUUUCUCCGUUAACUCUCGAUUUCUCUCCUUGAAUUCAUCUUCUGUCAAUAUCAAUACUUCCGGUAAGGCUUUCUCUGUUAUUGUAUUCCCCUUUUUUUAUUGGCUUUGCUUCCUGCUUUCGUAGUGUUUAUUGAGAAUAUCUGAACAAAAAAAAGGUUAUAAAAACUAUAAUAAAAAAAGGAAAUUUUGAUUUUAUUUUUUUAACUUUGAGUAUCGCAAGCACCACAUAACUAUAAGUUUUUUGUUUGUGCCUGAGUAGUUUGUAUCUACCUAUUCUUUUAAUAUUUUUUUCUACAGCAGUAAAGUUUACCUUUUCUUUAAUUAUAAAAUUUGUUUGUUCUGCAAAGUCAUAGCAUAUAUAUGAGCUUUGGUGGGGUAUUAUGCAUUUAAUUGGUAUUUUUAUAAGCAAAAAAGAGGCUUUUAUCAAUUCCUUGUUUCUAACUGUUAAGUUCGUAUCCUCCUGCUACUUUCAAAAGGUCAAAAUUGGUGAAUCUACAGAGUCAGAGCAUAGAUAUGACCUUUUGUGACUUAUUAUGCAUUUAAUUGGCAUUUUUAUAAGCAAAAAAGAAAAAGGCUUUUAUCAAUUCGUUAUUUCUAACUGAAGUUCGUAUCAUCCUACUGCUUUCUAAAGAUCAAAACUGGUGAGAAAAUAUUCUUAAGGUCUAUCGUCAUAGCAUAAUCAUAAUAUAGAGAUUUUACAUGGUUCUGUUUUUGUGCCACAACAAGUCAGUACCAAAAAGAAAUUGGACCUAAAAAUAGUAACUUCUAAAGGCUGCUUUUAUUAGCAAAUCAGGCGGAGGAAUUUGACUAAGCCUAUGUUUGUUGCUGAAGUUGUUUUACACUCUCCAUUGUGAUCUCCUGUGCCAUUUCUUUAUGAAAUCAUAUGGAAAAGUAGGAUUUCGAUACUUGCACUAAAUACUUCACGUUCAGAUUACAGCCAUAUUAAGCUCUCUUUGUUGUGAUAUGCGCACUCAGGCGUGAGAUGCUUCUACACACUCUAAGCAGUAUACUUUUAAGGGCCAUGAGGCAACUACCAAAUUCAUAGUUCAUUUUCUUUCCCUUCAUUUUGGCAUCUAAAAUAACCAUUGUUUGAUUUAGUGAACAUCAUAAGAUAUUGUUCAUUUAUGUUCAAAUUGUGCAAACGAUAUACUGCAAUCAGAGAUAACCAAUUUUUUAGUUAGCUAUAUCAUCCAUUAACUUCAGACCUAAGUGUUUUUGUUUAUCAAUAUCACUAAUAAGCUCUGAUUUCACAGGUUGAAAUGAAGUUAGUUAACCUGGGGCACACUCAAAGAUGGGUCUUGCAAAGUAUUUUCGAAUUUUUUUAUUUUUCCUCUUUUGAUAACACUGUGGAGUCUCAUAAUCAAGCUGUGGAUGAAAAAUGACCAGCCCACAAUAAAAAUUCAGUACAAAUGUAUGGAAUUUGUCUAUUCUAAUACUGAAAUAAC